GCCGGAAUAGCUCAGUUGGUAGAGCAGUCGCCUUGUAAGCGAGAGGUCGGGAGUUCGAAUCUCUCUUCCGGCACCA
RNAcentral lists this transfer RNA (76 nucleotides) under Rickettsiales bacterium. Its description in RNAcentral is "tRNA-Thr". It matches the Rfam family "tRNA". From Rfam's summary of the family: Transfer RNA (tRNA) molecules are approximately 80 nucleotides in length. Their secondary structure includes four short double-helical elements and three loops (D, anti-codon, and T loops). Lineage: Bacteria; Pseudomonadati; Pseudomonadota; Alphaproteobacteria; Rickettsiales. The record is from RNAcentral.